Molecule: ribosomal RNA, 407 nt
Filed under: uncultured bacterium
Lineage: Bacteria
Description: partial 16S ribosomal RNA
Rfam family: Bacterial small subunit ribosomal RNA
Source: RNAcentral
UGGGGAAUAUUGCACAAUGGGCGGAAGCCUGAUGCAGCAACGCCGCGUGCGGGAUGACGGCCUUCGGGUUGUAAACCGCUUUCGCCUGUGACGAAGCGUGAGUGACGGUAAUGGGUAAAGAAGCACCGGCUAACUACGUGCCAGCAGCCGCGGUGAUACGUAGGGUGCGAGCGUUGUCCGGAUUUAUUGGGCGUAAAGGGCUCGUAGGUGGUUGAUCGCGUCGGAAGUGUAAUCUUGGGGCUUAACCCUUAGCGUGCUUUCGAUACGGGUUGACUUGAGGAAGGUAGGGGAGAAUGGAAUUCCUGGUGGAGCGGUGGAAUGCGCAGAUAUCAGGAGGAACACCAGUGGCGAAGGCGGUUCUCUGGGCCUUUCCUGACGCUGAGGAGCGAAAGCGUGGGGAGCGAACA